UAACUGUCUCCACAAUAAUAUAUUUAAUUUAUUUAGUAAGUGAAAAUCCUUACAAAAAAAAUAUAAGACGAGAAGACCCUUUGAAUUUAAAUAAUAUAAUAAAUUUAAAUUAUUAAUUAUUUUUGUUGGGGCAACAAUUUAAUCAAUCUAAAUAUAAAUUAAUUAAAAUAAUAAUAAGCCGAGCAUAAUGCUAUCAUAGAAUAAAUUACCAUAGGGAUAACAGCAUAAUUUAUUUUAUUUAAUAAGAUUGUGACCUCGAUGUUGGACUAG
Molecule: ribosomal RNA, 270 nt
Filed under: Caspiophaedusa perlucens
Lineage: Eukaryota; Metazoa; Mollusca; Gastropoda; Stylommatophora; Clausiliidae
Description: partial 16S ribosomal RNA
Source: RNAcentral